CCUACGGGUGGCAGCAGUGAGGAAUAUUGGUCAAUGGACGCAAGCCUGAACCAGCCACGCCGCGUGCAUGAAGACGGCUCUAGGAGUUUUAAACUGCGUUUGUACGGGAGUAAACGGAGUCACGCGUGCCUUUUUGAAUGUACGGUACGAAUAAGGAUCGUCUAACUCCGUGCCAGCAGCCGCGGUAAUACGGAGGGCUCAAGCGUUAUCCGGAUUUAUUGGGUUUAAAGGGUGCGUAGGCGGUCGGAUAAGUCAGGGGUGAAAGUCCGGGGCUCAACCGCGGAAUUGCUUGUGAUACUGUUCGGCUAGAGUGCAGUGGAGGUAAGCGGAAUGCGUGGUGUAGCGGUGAAAUGCUUAGAGAUCAGGAAGAACACCGAUGGCGAAGGCAGCUUACCAAACUGCAACUGACGUUGAGGCUCGAAAGCGUGGGGAGCAAACAGGAUUAGAUACCCCUGUAGUC
RNAcentral lists this ribosomal RNA (460 nucleotides) under uncultured bacterium. Its description in RNAcentral is "partial 16S ribosomal RNA". It matches the Rfam family "Bacterial small subunit ribosomal RNA", at positions 338 to 795 of the family's 1533-position model. The record is from RNAcentral.